RNAcentral lists this microRNA precursor (58 nucleotides) under Alligator mississippiensis (American alligator). RNAcentral's name for it is "Ami-Mir-1677-o4_pre stem-loop". The record is from RNAcentral. Lineage: Eukaryota; Metazoa; Chordata; Crocodylia; Alligatoridae.
UCCAGAGCCCGUUGAAGUCAGCGGGAGACAUUCAAGUGACUUCAGGGGGCUUUGAAUG